GUCGUUAAAUACUGAGAAGUUUUUAUGUCAGAAAUGAACAUAUUAUUCUUUAUUAGUCGUUAUCUAAUCAUGAGAGCAGAUAAAAGUUGGAGAACACUGUACGACAGCCGUGAAAAGUGAUGCGCAAGUUCCGGAGCACUUCCAGAUCACCGAUCUGUCAGUAUGGACUUUUCCCGGAUUAUCAUACAAGUUAUUCUUGUUAUCUCUCUUGUUGAAGACAACUCUAUUGAAGAAUAAGAAUGGUACGACCAAACAGUAGAUCGCCACAAGAGGUGAUUCGGUGCAAUCCUAGUAAUACUGGGUGUAUACUAACUGGCAGUAUUACUGGAUACAGCUACGUUAUUGACUCAUCAACACAGACCACUCUAACUAUACAAUCUUUCAACCCUAAAACAGAUGUUGGAGAGUGGAUUUGUCGUGAUGGAACAUCAGGUGUUGGCCAGUCUACAUGCAACAUGAUAC
This is a long non-coding RNA of Gigantopelta aegis, 462 nucleotides long. RefSeq lists it as uncharacterized. NCBI's taxonomy places the organism in Eukaryota, Metazoa, Mollusca, Gastropoda, Neomphalida, Peltospiridae. The transcript is spliced from 4 exons. The record is from RefSeq and is a predicted model, not a curated record.